CUGCCUCGAAUUAAAAAUCGGACUAUACAUUCAAUUUUGUAGACUCAAAAUAAAAUAUAAAUAAAUAAAAUCCUUUUCUUUUCAGCAACAAACACAAGAAAAUGUCAAAAACCGCACAAACGGAAAUAGAAAGGCGACUAUCAACCAUGGAUGAGGUGGAAGAAGACGACUCCUCAGUCAAGAACGACCACGCAAGGCGCAAAGAUUCAUGGAGCGGUCUCAAAAAAUGCGACUCUAGGAAAGGCAGCAGUUCCGCUGAAACUUCGGUCUAAAUUAUAUGCCAAUUAUAGAUAACCUGUCCUGUGUUUAGUUGAUAAGGAAAUAGGCACAAAGUGACUUAGAUGUAUUUCUUAUUUGAUUUUACUGUUGCUGCGUAUUAAUGGACUUUUUGUUAAUGAUAGCUUUAUAAAAAAUUGAUUUAAUUUUCUGUGUGUUUGGCAACAACUUAGGAACGGGUUAGAGAUAAAGGACGAUGCCUUUGUAAGCACGAUGCUUUGAAUUCGUACGGCGGUAAUCGCCUGGUGACAUCGUAGGUUAUUGGUUGUAAACGACCUUGCCUUUGAAAUAAAACACUGUCUUUAACAAAAAUAUUCAAAACUACAUUAUAAAUGUUGCAAAGAAAAAAAUACCAUAUUCCUUUUUUAUAUUGGGUCAAUUUCGAGUUCUAUAUUGAAUUGUUUUCAGAGUUUGCUUAGCGUAUUUGACAUAACUGUAGUUUUUAGAUACAGCCAGCCAUUAAUGUGUAAUUCCAGCAAGUAGAAUAAUUAGUAGUACCUAACUUGAGUAGAAAUCUGUAACAUAAGGACUAAGUGGAAUUAGACUAUUAAAUGUACUUAGAUUUCUGUUUAUAAUCCUGUUAUUAUUGAACCUUACAAUAUAAUUAAACUUUUUGUUGUCUGUAACUGGUUAUAACUCUUAACACUAUUAUAGAUCGUGUCAUGGAAAUUUUUGAUGAUAUAUUAUAGAAAACACUGAUUCUGCCCAUAGAAAUGGUUACUAUAGUUUUCAUGAACAGUGCAAUUACCAAUGUUUUUGAACAGAAUUUGUUUUUUAAUCGUCGCAUUUUCUUUACUCUCCUAACGUGUACGGUAGCAAAAUUCCAGCUCUCAAAAGCAACUUCUCUAAAACAAAAAUGUAAGUGACUUUCUCUACUUAUGUUUUUAAAACACUUAAAUAUGUAGGCCAAAAGCUGAACAAAUUAAAACGAAGUGCCAAUAGAGUAACACCAUUAGAUUUUAGAUUUAUAUAAAUUUUUCGUAGAGAUUUUUGAUGUUACCUUAUUUUUAAGUAAGUCUAAGGUUCGCCCGUCGCAUGUUAAAGCAGGAUUGUAGGUGUUGAAUGAGAAACACUUAUGCGCAACAUAGUAAGCUAUUUAGCUUCCACAGCUACAAAACUGCUAUUAGAUGCAACGGCAGGAACCCUGGAAUAGGCGUACAGCAAUUCGUCAGUAACGUGAAUGACUAAAAUAAACCUUGUUUCAAAUGUAAAGCAGUCAAUAUUUGCAGUAGAUAUUGUUUUUUAAAGCAAGAAUAGACGUAGUUUGUAAACAUUUUGAUGUAAUAUUUACUAGGUGUGUAUAAAUAAUCAAUUAUAUAUUUAAUAGAAUGCAAGAGAGUGAAAGUAGGUAUGGAAUAAAAUGUUUAAAUAAGUAGGUAGGUAGGGGGUUGUAUAUUUUAAAUUUCAGCUUUGUUAAACCCUAGAAUCAUUGCUUUAAUGUUUAUUAUGUAUAUUUUAUUAGUCUCGGUAAUUGUUUUAAUAUUUUACUAUUAUAUAGUAAUAUUUAUAUAUUUAAUUAGGUAUAUAAUGAAGGUUUUUCUGUAUUGCCAUAGCUUGUUUUUGAUGUAUUUUUAAUAGAGUAACCCUGGUCAGGAUUGCCAAUAACUUAUUUCUUAGUUUUGUCUCUCUCUUCAAGCAGGAUUUUAGCCAUUGUGGAAGCGAGAUAGCACUCUUUUCGUAGCUGCGUCUCUCUUCCACAACAGCAUUCUUACUUAAGAGGUGAUAAGUCGACAAGUAUGUAAUCUAGUACUAUAGUUUAAACUCUAGAGUUAAUGCCUAUUAAAUACCAAUUUUAUUGAAAUUAAAUUAAUCUCAUGUAUGUAAUUUCCCUGGAAGCCUAAUUUAUUACGGCUAUAUAGAAUAUUCGUUAGUAAAUAUAAGUGUUAAUGUAAGCAAAACAAUUAUUAUUUGUACCUGGAGCGUUUGAUACGAUUUGUAUCGGUUUUGGAAUAUAUUUGUGGAGUGUUAUGAAUAAAUGGGUUUUUUUAUAAAUGUAAA
Molecule: long non-coding RNA, 2274 nt
Organism: Trichoplusia ni (cabbage looper)
Lineage: Eukaryota; Metazoa; Arthropoda; Insecta; Lepidoptera; Noctuidae
Exons: 2
Source: RefSeq, a predicted model, not a curated record